Magnolia sinica is the source of this 187-nucleotide long non-coding RNA. RefSeq lists it as uncharacterized. The transcript is spliced from 4 exons. The record is from RefSeq and is a predicted model, not a curated record. NCBI's taxonomy places the organism in Eukaryota, Viridiplantae, Streptophyta, Magnoliopsida, Magnoliales, Magnoliaceae.
GGUUCGGGUUUAGGUUAUAGGUUUUGGUUUUGGUUUAGGUUAUAAGUUUUGGUUUUGGUUUAGGUUAAGGUUUAGGUUAUAGGUUUUGGGAUUUGAGAAUGGGUUCGGGUUUAAGUUAUAGGUUUUUGGAUUUGAGAAUGGGUUCGGGUUUAGGUUAUAGGUUUUGGUUUUGGUUUAGGUUAUAGGU